AGAGUUUUGAUCCUGGCUCAGGAUGAACGCUGGCGGCGUGCUUAACACAAUGCAAGGUCGAACGGGGGACCCCGUGAAGGAGUUUUCGGACAACGGAAGGGAAUCCCUAGUGGCGGACGGGUGAGUAACGCGUGAGUAACCUGCCUUGGAUGGGGAAUAACAGCUGGAAACAGCUGCUAAUACCGCAUAAAACGUCUGUGUCGCAUGGCACUGGACGUCAAAGAUUUAUCGCUCUGAGAUGGACUCGCGUCUGAUUAGCUAGUUGGUGGGGCAACGGCCCACCAAGGCGACGAUCAGUAGCCGGACUGAGAGGUUGGCCGGCCACAUUGGGACUGAGACACGGCCCAGACUCCUACGGGAGGCAGCAGUGGGGAAUAUUGGGCAAUGGGCGAAAGCCUGACCCAGCAACGCCGCGUGAAGGAAGAAGGCUUUCGGGUUGUAAACUUCUUUUAUCAGGGACGAAGCAAGUGACGGUACCUGACGAAUAAGCCACGGCUAACUACGUG
This 506-nucleotide ribosomal RNA is filed under the name uncultured Oscillospiraceae bacterium. RNAcentral's name for it is "bacterial SSU rRNA". It matches the Rfam family "Bacterial small subunit ribosomal RNA", at positions 8 to 507 of the family's 1533-position model. The record is from RNAcentral. Lineage: Bacteria; Bacillati; Bacillota; Clostridia; Eubacteriales; Oscillospiraceae.